Molecule: unclassified non-coding RNA, 430 nt
Filed under: soil metagenome
Description: partial contains 5.8S ribosomal RNA, internal transcribed spacer 2, and large subunit ribosomal RNA
Rfam family: 5.8S ribosomal RNA (bases 1-120)
Source: RNAcentral
GAUGAAGAACGCAGCGAAAUGCGAUACGUAAUGUGAAUUGCAGAAUUCAGUGAAUCAUCGAAUCUUUGAACGCAUAUUGCGCUCUCUGGUAUUCCGGAGAGCAUGCUUGUUUGAGUAUCAGUAAACACCUUAACUCCCUUUUCUUUUUUGAAAUUGGAGCUGGACUUGAGUGAUCCCAACGCUUUCUUCCAAGAAAGUGGCGGGUUGCUUGAAAUGCAGGUGCAGCUGAACUUUUCUCUGAGCUAUAAGCAUAUCUAUUUAGUCUGCCUAAAAAACAGAUUAUUACCUUUGCUGCAGCUAACAUAAAGGAGACUAGUUCUUGUGCUGACUGAUGCAGGAUUCACAGAGACAGCUUCGGCUGACUUUGUAAACUCGAUCUCAAAUCAAGUAAGACUACCCGCUGAACUUAAGCAUAUCAAUAAGCGGAGGA